CAUGGUACUUUGGAAACCUAGCACUGAAGGAAAACCCACACUUUCAUGGGGAGAACAUGCAAACUCCACACUAAAGAUGUUGCUGCCAGAACUGAACUUGGGUUACUAGAGCUGGGAGGCAGCAGCUGUGCCACUGUGUAGAGGUGAAGCACUGUUUCAGUGCCAUCACCCAACUUCCUUCAAAGCAAUGAAACAGACAGAAAUUUACUGAAUAUGGGAUCUGAGACUCCUUCUGAGUGACAUUCAGCCUGAUGUUGAGAAGCUGGUAUCACUGCACCAGGCUAUCUAUCUCACUGAAAGGUACUCUGAGCUGUUUUGCCUGUUGAUUUUUUCUACAUUGAGCAGUAUUGAAGAAUAGUAC
Hypanus sabinus (Atlantic stingray) is the source of this 361-nucleotide long non-coding RNA. RefSeq lists it as uncharacterized. NCBI's taxonomy places the organism in Eukaryota, Metazoa, Chordata, Chondrichthyes, Myliobatiformes, Dasyatidae. The record is from RefSeq and is a predicted model, not a curated record. The transcript is spliced from 3 exons.